Regulatory RNA element from Streptomyces silvensis, 76 nucleotides. NCBI's taxonomy places the organism in Bacteria, Bacillati, Actinomycetota, Actinomycetes, Kitasatosporales, Streptomycetaceae. The record is from Rfam.
GGGGAAUCUGGUGCGAAUCCAGAGCUGACGCGCAGCGGUGUGGUCCGGCGAGGUGCCGGGCCGAGCCCGAAUGCCC